RNAcentral lists this transfer RNA (73 nucleotides) under Thermoprotei archaeon. RNAcentral's name for it is "tRNA-Val". It matches the Rfam family "tRNA". From Rfam's summary of the family: Transfer RNA (tRNA) molecules are approximately 80 nucleotides in length. Their secondary structure includes four short double-helical elements and three loops (D, anti-codon, and T loops). The record is from RNAcentral. RNAcentral also lists the same sequence under 4 other names. Lineage: Archaea; Thermoproteati; Thermoproteota; Thermoprotei.
GGGCCCGUGGUCUAGUGGUUGGGACGCCACUCUCACACAGUGGAGGUCCUGGGUUCGAUCCCCAGCGGGCCCA